AUUGAACGCUGGCGGAAUGCUUUACACAUGCAAGUCGAACGGCAGCACGGGGCAACCUGGUGGCGAGUGGCGAACGGGUGAGUAAUGCAUCGGAACGUGCCAUUGAGUGGGGGGAUAACGUAGCGAAAGUUGCGCUAAUACCGCAUAUUCUGUGAGCAGGAAAGCAGGGGACCGCAAGGCCUUGCGCUCUUUGAGCGGCCGAUGUCAGAUUAGCUAGUUGGUGAGGUAACGGCUUACCAAGGCGACGAUCUGUAGCGGGUCUGAGAGGAUGAUCCGCCACACUGGAACUGAGACACGGUCCAGACUCCUACGGGAGGCAGCAGUGGGGAAUUUUGGACAAUGGGCGCAAGCCUGAUCCAGCCAUGCCGCGUGAGUGAAGAAGGCCU
RNAcentral lists this ribosomal RNA (386 nucleotides) under uncultured bacterium. Its description in RNAcentral is "bacterial SSU rRNA". It matches the Rfam family "Bacterial small subunit ribosomal RNA", at positions 30 to 417 of the family's 1533-position model. The record is from RNAcentral.